Long non-coding RNA from Pan paniscus (pygmy chimpanzee), 681 nucleotides. Lineage: Eukaryota; Metazoa; Chordata; Mammalia; Primates; Hominidae. The record is from Ensembl.
UCUUUUUCUCUCUGCUUUUUUCAAACUCUUUUAUCUUUCAAAUUUCUACAGCUACAUCAAAAGUCUUCCCCAAAGCUCCAUUCCUCAAUGACUGCACAAAUUGCUAGAAGUUUGAGAUUGACACAGACUUUAAAGUUCAGUUAUGCCAACCCUGAUCUUCCCUUUCCAACUUGCAUGGUGUGCAGAUGUUAAAAUAAGCAGCUGCUGUGCCCUGAGGGGUGAGGGAAAUGUGGUCGCCUAAAACACCACCAAAGGUUGCUGCUUAAACACUUCCCUCAGCCAUAUAUGAAGGCUAAAUCAGAUAAAGAUCCCAGGAAGCGUGCAACAGGUUAAGCAUCUGUGGGUGGCAGCAAAUUUAACUGAUAUCUCCAAGCUGCCUUUUAAAGAUAAAGACCUUUCUUCCCUACCUUUAACAUUUGAGCUUUUAAGAGAACAAAUUGGCUCUGUACUUUCUGGCAUAGGAAGUCUGAUUCAGCCAAACCAAACAUUAAGACUGAAGAGAUGCAGCUGUUUCUUGAACCGGAAUACAGGCACAAGAUUCAAAGGAAGCAGGCUGCUUUCUUGCAGCAAGACAAGGCAAGUUGGAAGAGAGGAUUAUUUUUCUUCUUCAAAACUCUCACCCUCAGGAAGAUUCCUAUCAACUACUUUGGGAAAGAGUGAGUACAAAAAGACAGGGGACAU